Molecule: ribosomal RNA, 294 nt
Filed under: Colletotrichum gloeosporioides
Lineage: Eukaryota; Fungi; Ascomycota; Sordariomycetes; Glomerellales; Glomerellaceae
Description: partial 28S ribosomal RNA
Rfam family: Eukaryotic large subunit ribosomal RNA
Source: RNAcentral
UGGGGGAACGAGAGAAGCACUUUGAAAGAGGUUAAACAGCACGUGAAAUUGUUAAAAGGGAAGCGCUUGUGACCAGACUUGCGUCCGGUGAAUCACCCAGCUCUCGCGGCUGGGGCACUUCGCCGGCUCAGGCCAGCAUCAGCUCGCUGUCGGGGACAAAAGCUUCAGGAACGUAGCUCUCUUCGGGGAGUGUUAUAGCCUGUUGCAUAAUACCCUUCGGCGGGCUGAGGUACGCGCUCCGCAAGGAUGCUGGCAUAAUGGUCAUCAGCGACCCGUCUUGAAACACGGACCAAG